AUUUGCCUCUGGCAUGUAGAUUGAUAGCUAGGCAUAAAUAGAAGCUAACUUAUGAUUUGUCAUGCAAGACAGAAAAUGUAACGGUUAACAUUACUAGAGCUAGCCUAAGGUGUAGACAUUCUAUUCACUGUGGUUUAGCUAGCUAGCUGCUAUUGUUGCAUCAUGGACAACACUUAGAGCUAACAUUAGCUUUUAAAAAUAUCUUUUUUAGAUAGGAUGUAAUGUGGUAUGUGCUGGAGAGUAUUAGAGUGGACGUGAAUGGAAAUGAUAUUGCAAGUAAUGUGUUUUGUUUUUGUGCACUAUCAAACUACUUUGUCAUGCUUUGUGCACUGACAUUCUUGCAAAACCAUUCAUACCCAUGCUAAAUUAUGGAAAUGUAAAAGUUGAAUUGUAUUGAAAAGGACCAUGUAUGGUCAUGUAGUAUAUUUGAGCACUGAAACCCCUUUUUUUUUACAUUUUAGAGAGGGAGGCAACACUCGAAAGCUACAUCAAGGACACCGGAGGAAGGACCAGAAGACCUGAGACCAAGACGACCCAAGCCCAACCCGUAGUAUGCUUCACUGACAAAUGUUGAUGUUGAUGCUUCAUCAUCACAUAGACCAAAGGUUUCAGAGAAGGCUGGUAGAGCUCUCUAUGAGUGUGAGCUGUGGUGGGAGAUAACCCAGAACUGACAACCACCUAAAGAAGAGGUGGCAAUAAUGGCUCUCCAAGAGGAGGUUGUGAGUCUGAAGGCUUUUAUUCAACAAGGAGGCACUUAGAGGGAAUGCCUGGACCCUGAGAGGACUAAGACGAUAAUUGAGGCCACCCUGAAGCAGUUCCCAGGCCAGACACUCACUCCAGAUUGCUGGGCCAGGCAAUAAAUGCCAAAGUGACAGAACUGAGGUUCCAUAACAAAAACAAAGA
Alosa sapidissima (American shad) is the source of this 903-nucleotide long non-coding RNA. RefSeq lists it as uncharacterized. NCBI's taxonomy places the organism in Eukaryota, Metazoa, Chordata, Actinopteri, Clupeiformes, Clupeidae. The record is from RefSeq and is a predicted model, not a curated record. The transcript is spliced from 4 exons.